GACGAACGCUGGCGGCGUGCCUAAUACAUGCAAGUCGAACGCAGUGGGGACGGGUGAGUAACACGUGGCUAACCUCCCAUCAGAGGGGAUAACAAGUGGAAAAAGCUGCUAAACCGCUACUGAUGGAUGGACCCGCGGUGCAUUAGCUAGAUGGUGAGGUAACGGCUCACCAAGGCCACGAUGCAUAGCCGACCUGGUAUGGUGAUCGGCCACACUGGGACUGAGACACGGCCCAGACUCCUACGUGAGGCAGCAGUAGGGAAUCUUGGGCAAUGGACGAAAGUCUGACCGAGCAACGCCGAGUGAGUGAAGAAGGUGUUCGGAUCGUAAAGCUCUGUUGUUGGAGAAGCGGUAUCUAACCAGAAAGCCACGGCUAACUACGUGCCAGCAGCCGCGGUAAUUC
RNAcentral lists this ribosomal RNA (403 nucleotides) under uncultured bacterium. RNAcentral describes it as "partial 16S ribosomal RNA". It matches the Rfam family "Bacterial small subunit ribosomal RNA", at positions 28 to 526 of the family's 1533-position model. The record is from RNAcentral.